UACGGGGGGGGCAAGCGUUGUUCGGAAUUACUGGGCGUAAAGGGCUCGUAGGCGGCCAACUAAGUCAGACGUGAAAUCCCUCGGCUUAACCGGGGAACUGCGUCUGAUACUGGAUGGCUGGAGUUUGGGAGAGGGAUGCGGAAUUCCAGGUGUAGCGGUGAAAUGCGUAGAUAUCUGGAGGAACACCUGUGGUGUAGACAGCUUACUGGACCACGACUGACGCUGAGACACGAAAGCGUGGGUAGCAAACAGG
This 253-nucleotide ribosomal RNA is filed under the name uncultured bacterium. RNAcentral's name for it is "partial 16S ribosomal RNA". It matches the Rfam family "Bacterial small subunit ribosomal RNA", at positions 524 to 776 of the family's 1533-position model. The record is from RNAcentral.